AGCACCACAACGGGUGGAGCUUGCGGUUUAAUUGGAUUCAACGCCGGAAAUCUUACCGGGACCGACAGCAAUAUGAAGGCCAGGCUGAAGACUUUGCCGGAUUAGCUGAGAGGUGGUGCAUGGCCGUUGUCAGUUCGUACUGUGAAGCAUCCUGUUAAGUCAGGCAACGAGCGAGACCCACGCCCACAGUUGCCAGCGUACUCUCUGGAGUGACGGGUACACUGUGGGGACCGCCGCUGCUAAAGCGGAGGAAGGAAUGGGCAACGGUAGGUCAGUAUGCCCCGAAUAUCCCGGGCUACACGCGAGCUACAAUGGUUGGUACAAUGGGUAUCUACCCCGAAAGGUGAAGGCAAUCUCUUAAACCUGUCCUUAGUUCGGAUUGUGGGCUGCAACUCGCCCACAUGAAGCUGGAAUCUGUAGUAAUCGCGUCUCAAAAUGGCGCGGUGAAUAUGUCCCUGCUCCUU
Molecule: ribosomal RNA, 464 nt
Filed under: uncultured Methanolinea sp.
Lineage: Archaea; Methanobacteriati; Methanobacteriota; Methanomicrobia; Methanomicrobiales; Methanoregulaceae
Description: bacterial SSU rRNA
Rfam family: Archaeal small subunit ribosomal RNA
Source: RNAcentral